RNAcentral lists this transfer RNA (73 nucleotides) under Neisseria meningitidis NM2657. Its description in RNAcentral is "tRNA-Ile". It matches the Rfam family "tRNA". From Rfam's summary of the family: Transfer RNA (tRNA) molecules are approximately 80 nucleotides in length. The record is from RNAcentral. Lineage: Bacteria; Pseudomonadati; Pseudomonadota; Betaproteobacteria; Neisseriales; Neisseriaceae.
GGGUUUGUAGCUCAGCUGGUUAGAGCACACGCUUGAUGAGCUGGGUCGAGGUUCAAGUCCUCCUAGACCACCA